AGUGAACGCUGGCGGUAGGCCUAACACAUGCAAGUCGAACGGCAGCACAGUAAGAGCUUGCUCUUACGGGUGGCGAGUGGCGGACGGGUGAGGAAUACAUCGGAAUCUACUUUUUCGUGGGGGAUAACGUAGGGAAACUUACGCUAAUACCGCAUACGACCUACGUGUGAAAGCAGGGGAUCUUCGGACCUUGCUCGAUUGAAUGAGCCGAUGUCGGAUUAGCUAGUUGGCGGGGUAAUGGCCCACCAAGGCGACGAUCCGUAGCUGGUCUGAGAGGAUGAUCAGCCACACUGGAACUGAGACACGGUCCAGACUCCUACGGGAGGCAGCAGUGGGGAAUAUUGGACAAUGGGCGCAAGCCUGAUCCAGCCAUACCGCGUGGGUGAAGAAGGCCUUCGGGUUGUAAAGCCCUUUUGUUGGGAAAGAAAAGCAGCAGGUUAAUACCCCGCUGUUCUGACGGUACCCAAAGAAUAAGCACCGGCUAACUUCGUG
This 492-nucleotide ribosomal RNA is filed under the name uncultured bacterium. RNAcentral describes it as "partial 16S ribosomal RNA". It matches the Rfam family "Bacterial small subunit ribosomal RNA", at positions 29 to 507 of the family's 1533-position model. The record is from RNAcentral.